UGAGGAACCAAUGUUCUUCUUGGCCC
This 26-nucleotide non-coding RNA is filed under the name Mus musculus (house mouse). The record is from RNAcentral. Lineage: Eukaryota; Metazoa; Chordata; Mammalia; Rodentia; Muridae.